This 207-nucleotide ribosomal RNA is filed under the name uncultured bacterium. Its description in RNAcentral is "partial 16S ribosomal RNA". It matches the Rfam family "Bacterial small subunit ribosomal RNA", at positions 568 to 774 of the family's 1533-position model. The record is from RNAcentral.
CGCGUAGGCGGCAAAUCAAGUCAGAUGUGAAAUUCCGAAGCUUAACUUCGGAGCUGCAUCUGAAACUGAUUAGCUAGUGGGUAGACGGAGAAAAUGGAAUUCCACAUGUAGCGGUGAAAUGCGUAGAUAUGUGGAGGAACACCGGUGGCGAAAGCGGUUUUCUAGUUUAUACCAGACGCUGAGGCGCGAAAGCGAGGGGAGCAAACA